This 254-nucleotide ribosomal RNA is filed under the name uncultured bacterium. RNAcentral describes it as "partial 16S ribosomal RNA". It matches the Rfam family "Bacterial small subunit ribosomal RNA", at positions 524 to 776 of the family's 1533-position model. The record is from RNAcentral.
UACGUAGGGGGCGAGCGUUGUCCGGAUUUAUUGGGCGUAAAGAGCUCGUAGGCGGCUAAGCAAGUCGGGUGGGAAAUCUCCAGGCUCAACCUGGAGCCUUCGCCCGAUACUGCUUUGGCUUGAGUCCGGUAGGGGAGUGUGGAGUUCCCGGUGUAGCGGUGAGAUGCGCAGAUAUCGGGAGGAACACCGGCGGCGAAGGCGGCACUCUGGGCCGGUACUGACGCUGAGGAGCGAAAGCGUGGGGAGCAAACAGG